RNAcentral lists this ribosomal RNA (1370 nucleotides) under uncultured bacterium. RNAcentral describes it as "bacterial SSU rRNA". It matches the Rfam family "Bacterial small subunit ribosomal RNA". The record is from RNAcentral.
AGAGUUUGAUCCUGGCUCAGAACGAACGCUGGCGGCGUGGAUAAGACAUGCAAGUCGAACGAGAGAAUUGCUAGCUUGCUAAUAAUUCUCUAGUGGCGCACGGGUGAGUAACACGUGAGUAACCUGCCCCCGAGAGCGGGAUAGCCCUGGGAAACUGGGAUUAAUACCGCAUAGUAUCGAAAGAUUAAAGCAGCAAUGCGCUUGGGGAUGGGCUCGCGGCCUAUUAGUUAGUUGGUGAGGUAACGGCUCACCAAGGCGAUGACGGGUAGCCGGUCUGAGAGGAUGUCCGGCCACACUGGAACUGAGACACGGUCCAGACACCUACGGGUGGCAGCAGUCGAGAAUCAUUCACAAUGGGGGAAACCCUGAUGGUGCGACGCCGCGUGGGGGAAUGAAGGUCUUCGGAUUGUAAACCCCUGUCACGUGGGAGCAAAUUAAAAAGAUAGUACCACAAGAGGAAGAGACGGCUAACUCUGUGCCAGCAGCCGCGGUAAUACAGAGGUCUCAAGCGUUGUUCGGAAUCACUGGGCGUAAAGCGUGCGUAGGCUGUUUCGUAAGUCGUGUGUGAAAGGCGCGGGCUCAACCCGCGGACGGCACAUGAUACUGCGAGACUAGAGUGAUGGAGGGGGAACCGGAAUUCUCGGUGUAGCAGUGAAAUGCGUAGAUAUCGAGAGGAACACUCGUGGCGAAGGCGGGUUCCUGGACAUUAACUGACGCUGAGGCACGAAGGCCAGGGGAGCGAAAGGGAUUAGAUACCCCUGUAGUCCUGGCAGUAAACGGUGCACGCUUGGUGUGCGGGGAAUCGACCCCCUGCGUGCCGGAGCUAACGCGUUAAGCGUGCCGCCUGGGGAGUACGGUCGCACGAUUAAAACUCAAAGAAAUUGACGGGGACCCGCACAAGCGGUGGAGUAUGUGGCUUAAUUCGAUGCAACGCGAAGAACCUUACCUGGGCUUGACAUGUAAUGAACAACAUGUGAAAGCAUGCGACUCUUCGGAGGCGUUACACAGGUGCUGCAUGGCCGUCGUCAGCUCGUGUCGUGAGAUGUUUGGUUAAGUCCAGCAACGAGCGCAACCCCUGUUGCCAGUUACCAGCACGUGAAGGUGGGGACUCUGGCGAGACUGCCCAGAUCAACUGGGAGGAAGGUGGGGACGACGUCAGGUCAGUAUGGCCCUUAUGCCCAGGGCUGCACACUUACUACAAUGCCCAGUACAGAGGGGGCCGAAGCCGCGAGGCGGAGGAAAUCCUAAAAACUGGGCCCAGUUCGGACUGUAGGCUGCAACCCGCCUACACGAAGCCGGAAUCGCUAGUAAUGGCGCAUCAGCUACGGCGCCGUGAAUACGUUCCCGGGUCUUGCACUCAACGCCCGUCA